GGAGAGGUGGCCGAGCGGCUGAAGGCGGCACCCUGCUAAGGUGUUAUACUCGUAAGGGUAUCGAGGGUUCGAAUCCCUCCCUCUCCGCCA
RNAcentral lists this transfer RNA (90 nucleotides) under Magnetococcus marinus MC-1. RNAcentral describes it as "tRNA-Ser (GCT) (tRNA-Ser-GCT-1-1)". It matches the Rfam family "tRNA". Rfam says of the family: Transfer RNA (tRNA) molecules are approximately 80 nucleotides in length. Their secondary structure includes four short double-helical elements and three loops (D, anti-codon, and T loops). Further hydrogen bonds mediate the characteristic L-shaped molecular structure. tRNAs have two regions of fundamental functional importance: the anti-codon, which is responsible for specific mRNA codon recognition, and the 3' end, to which the tRNAs corresponding amino acid is attached (by aminoacyl-tRNA synthetases). tRNAs cope with the degeneracy of the genetic code in two manners: having more than one tRNA (with a specific anti-codon) for a particular amino acid; and 'wobble' base-pairing, i.e. permitting non-standard base-pairing at the 3rd anti-codon position. The record is from RNAcentral. Lineage: Bacteria; Pseudomonadati; Pseudomonadota; Magnetococcia; Magnetococcales; Magnetococcaceae. RNAcentral also lists the same sequence under 1 other name.